RNAcentral lists this long non-coding RNA (880 nucleotides) under Salvia miltiorrhiza (redroot sage). RNAcentral's name for it is "long non-coding RNA (SMIL_LNC008503)". Lineage: Eukaryota; Viridiplantae; Streptophyta; Magnoliopsida; Lamiales; Lamiaceae. The record is from RNAcentral.
UGUCCUAUUUAAACCAUCCAACUUGAGACUAUGAAGUAUCCCACAAACAUAUAUCUCUUUCUCUUCCACACAUCAAAAUAUACAGAAAGGAUGAUUUCUGAUAAAGGAAUAUCAAUCAAAUUUCUUCUUUUUCUUCUACUUUGUGUCUCUGUUUCAGGAGAAGUGAGAUGCAUUGAAAGGGAGAGAGAAGCUCUUCUAAGCUUCAAGAAUGGCCUCAUCGAUGACUAUGGCGUUCUCUCGUCAUGGCGAAGUGACGAAUGCUGCAAAUGGUAUGGUGUUGAGUGCAGUAACACCACAGGCCAUGUCAUAGCUCUUCAUCUUGAUGGCUAUUAUAAAGGUGCAUUGCGAGGUAAGGUUGGUUCUUCCUUGCUCGAGUUGCAUCAUUUAAACUAUCUUGACCUCAGUUACAAUGAUUUUGGAGGCUAUUCAAUCCCAGAAUUCAUAGGUUCCAUGAAACAGUUACAAUAUCUGUAUCUCAUGUAUUCUCACUUUUCUGGGAUCAUUCCUCCUCAGAUUGGUAACCUUACUAACUUGCGGUUACUCGGUCUCAGUUGGAAUGAUUUUGGAGGCAAUCCAAUCCCGGAAUUCGUUUAUUCCAUGAAACAAUUACAACACUUGUAUCUCAAGUAUGCUAACUUUUCUGGGAUCAUUCCUCCUCAGAUUGGUAACCUUACCAACCUACUCUCACUUGAUCUCUCAUUCAACUCUUUGACGACUGAGAAUCUCGUUUGGCUUUCGAAUCUCUCUUCGUUGUCUUAUCUUCAUUUGAGUCAAAUCGACUUAAGUCACCCCAACUCGCUGCAACAUAUCUCAAGUCUUCAUUUCCUAUAUGAAUUGCACUUGUAUUCUUGUGGCCUCAAGGGGACUGAACCUUCUNNNN